Long non-coding RNA from Pezoporus occidentalis (night parrot), 2207 nucleotides. RefSeq lists it as uncharacterized. NCBI's taxonomy places the organism in Eukaryota, Metazoa, Chordata, Aves, Psittaciformes, Psittacidae. The record is from RefSeq and is a predicted model, not a curated record. The transcript is spliced from 3 exons.
GUUUGGUUUUCAUUUUGUUUUGUUUUGUUUUCCUGUUUUAAUGGUAUGGGAGGUUCUGCAAAGUUCUGUGUGUGAGUGUCAUAUUUUUCCCUGAAUCUGUUAUAGGUGAGUUGGUGAAAGGGGUUAACUGUAUCCCAAAUACCUAGAAUAAUCGAUUAAUCAUUGCAUCGUUAGUAGCAGCAGCAAUGCUUUGCACCCCUUUAGACAUCUGGUUUUCCAAUGAUUUCUCAAACAGAAUGUAUUUCUUCUUCAAAGGGUUUGAGUGGUGGGGUGUUUUUCUGCAGUCUGGUACUGAUAGGUGUCUGCUCAUGGAGGAAAUAUAGAUCAGGCAUUUGGAUGAAUGUCUUCUUCUCCUUGGGGCCCAUACUGUAGGAUUCAGUUCUCUGAAACUAAGAAGGAUGAUGAAAGGAGAUCUGCUCACUGAAGAGCUUUGGUGCAUUGGGAAGCAGGAUUUUCUGCUUUCCCCAAGAAAAUGACUUCACCCAGUAGUUCAAAGGAAGCCACAUUUCAGGUGAAAUUUCCCCUGGAGCUCACAAAUCCAGCAACACACCAUUCACAGGAGGAAGCCCUGCUUCACACACAGGCUGGAAGGAUGCUUCAAUCCUCAUUAAUGGGUAUCUCUUGAAACUUCAGCAGCAAGUCAGGGUGGCCAAAAGGCUGGGAUGACAAACACACACCUUCUAGAGGUCUCUGAAUGAAGUCCAUAAGGGAAAAGACACUUCAGCCCCGUUAGACCCUGGUCCUGCCUCUUGGAAGGAGGCACUGUUUUGGUUGUCCACACCAGCAUGACAAGCAGCAGAUGCUGAUACUGGGAGGGGAGAACUGAGAAGAGGAAAUAGAAGUGGUGGGAGGGCAACGAAGUGGCAUAUGGAUUGUUCUUCCACAGCUCUGCUGCUGCUCCAGGGAAACACUUUUUCCCAAGGUUUUCUUCUCACUGUGAUUUCUUUCUUCUGAAAGCUCUUCAUUUAGAAAACAGACAAAUUUCUGCCAGCUACAUAAAUAAUUUCCCUCUUGUAAGACCCGGAACUCCAGGGAAUUAUUUAAAAGCAUCCUGUCUCUUACAGGUACAUGCAGAAGUGGCUAUUAGAGUAACAAGAGGAAUAAUAAAAAUGCAAAGAGAAUGUACGUGGUGGAGAACAUCUGUGGAUGACAACUGUAGGCUAAAAACAUUUUUCGGUACCUUGCUAAAGGUUCCAAGCAUCAAGCAUGGUAAAAUGGGAGAAAUACAGAAUUUCUACAAUAGUUUGGAACAGAAAGUAGUGGGCUUCAAGGCAGCGAUCAGGACUUUGUGUAUAGUUGCUGCUGAAAGAAUAUACCUUAAUAUUUUAAAUGUUUUUCUGAACUCAUUCUGUUGGUUCAAGGAAAGAUUACCAAAUUGAGGAGCAUGUGUGUUUUCCUCUGCUUUUAACACAUUUAUCAUUUUAAUGACCCACUGCAGGUUGUUACUACCUGUAUUCCUGGCAGGAACUACCCAACUACCUUGUUGCUGAAAUCCUGCAAAAUUAUUUAACAGGAAAAAAUCCAGCAUAUUUACAAUGAAGAGAAUGAAGAACAACUUUUCCUUGAGGAAUUUACUCAAAUUAGGCUUGCAUACUAUGUGCCAAGAAAAGAAGGAAGAUUCACAUUAGCAUAAAUUGAUGAAAAUCAGGGUAUACUCUUUAUGUGAUACACUGUAAAUGCAAUGCUGGUGGAAAAAUAAGAAAAAAAAAAGUAAAAAGCUCAUUCUUGUAAUUUUUUUCUACUUCAAAUUAGAAAAAAAAAAAAACAAAACAGUUCAUUUUUUCCCCACCAGGGAGUGGAAAUACUUAAAGAGGUGGGGACUUCCUUGUGAAUGUCUAAGCACAGCAUUGGCAUCGAAAGCUGUAUGUUUCUGUGUGUCCAAUAUAUCCAAAAUAUUUUGCUUAGAAAAGGCAGGCAUGUGUUACUAUUUGUAAUGUGCUUCAUGUAAAAAAAAUGUCAAUAAUGAAACAUUCCCUUCGUUGAUCCAGUUUUCACUGAAUCAUUAAAGGCAGGGAACAGAAGAGACAGAGGGAGAUGAGGCAUCACUGAACACAGUAGAUGGAGCAAACUACCAAGAAAUUCAACCCCACAUGUCUGGACUAAGUAGGCAAACUUGAAAAGAAUAAAACCCCCAAACAAUCCAAACAAACAACAUGACUUGGAGGAAAAUCAGAAAAUUAGAAUUAAAUGAAAACAACCCUCAGGCU